RNAcentral lists this long non-coding RNA (994 nucleotides) under Corvus moneduloides (New Caledonian crow). RNAcentral's name for it is "lncRNA (ENSCMUG00000019681.1)". The record is from RNAcentral. Lineage: Eukaryota; Metazoa; Chordata; Aves; Passeriformes; Corvidae.
CAGCUCUUACAAACUUGCCAUGUACAUUUUUAAAUGGGAAAAUAUGCAAAUGGAAAAAAUAUCCAAACAAAGCAAUGUAGAUAUAUGCACAAGUACAGAAACCAUUACCUUCGCAUUGAAUCCUGCUUAAAUACAGGUUUCAACAGGUUCAAGAGCCAAUUUUGGCAAGCUGUUUGAACAGCUGCUAACUUUGAGUGUGCAAGCAGUGUCAGCAUCAGUCAGUAGAACUAAUUAGAUGGUAAAGAGUAACUGUGUUUAGAAACGCUGCUCAUCUGGUACUGCAGCCGCCUGAUUUCCAGUUGCCACUCCCCCAUCAAUAAAUGAGAUUGUAGCACUGCUGUAUGUGGGAUAAAAAUAAAGUCACUUGCUCUCAGGACUUGUUGCAAAAUUCUUUAUGUACAAAUACUAAUUUCUUGCUGAAUUCUUAAGCAAAUACAAAUUGAACACUCAGCACAUCACUUUGGAGGAUGUUUCAAGAAGGGUAGAAGCACCUCAGUGGAAGAAAGAGUGGUUUACUGAAGUAAAUGGAACCUUUCAAGAGGACACCUUUAUAAUGCCAGAGAUAGGGAGAAAACGCAGAAAGUACUCAGACUGAAAAAGAUGUUCAGAAAGAAAAAAAAAAUUCUCUUCCAGGAAAUAAGCUCAUAUUACCAGAGUAAGCUCAGAAACAGUCUUAUCGAACGGGACUUUUUCCCUCAUACAGUACAGAGGAAACCAAUUCUGCUUUCUGCACACCUUCUCCAGUCCUUCCUUCAUCUCCACCAGCAGCCAUGGAGACCUGCCAACUGCAGACUGAAAAGGAAUCUUUCACCCAGUAGCUCAUCAGAGAAGAUCACAACCAUGAGCCAGUUGAGCAUAAACUAUUGCAGAACAAUACCCACAGCCUCCAUUUUCAGGAUGCAAAGAAGCAAAGAAAGGAAAUUCCCCAAAGUCUCCCGAUUCUGCUCAGAUUGAUGCCAUCCAUUUGCUUCCCUUUCAGGCAACUGCAGAGCGG